Molecule: ribosomal RNA, 484 nt
Filed under: uncultured bacterium
Lineage: Bacteria
Description: partial 16S ribosomal RNA
Rfam family: Bacterial small subunit ribosomal RNA
Source: RNAcentral
AUUGAACGCUAGCGGGAUGCUUUACACAUGCAAGUCGAACGGCAGCGCGGACUUCGGUCUGGCGGCGAGUGGCGAACGGGUGAGUAAUGUAUCGGAACGUGCCCAGUAGCGGGGGAUAACUACGCGAAAGCGUAGCUAAUACCGCAUACGCCCUACGGGGGAAAGCAGGGGAUCGUAAGACCUUGCACUAUUGGAGCGGCCGAUAUCGGAUUAGCUAGUUGGUGAGGUAACGGCUCACCAAGGCGACGAUCCGUAGCUGGCUUGAGAGGACGACCAGCCACACUGGGACUGAGACACGGCCCAGACUCCUACGGGAGGCAGCAGUGGGGAAUUUUGGACAAUGGGGGCAACCCUGAUCCAGCCAUCCCGCGUGUGCGAUGAAGGCCUUCGGGUUGUAAAGCACUUUUGGCAGGAAAGAAACGUCGCGGGCUAAUACCCCGUGGAACUGACGGUACCUGCAGAAUAAGCACCGGCUAACUACGUG